Myotis lucifugus (little brown bat) is the source of this 282-nucleotide long non-coding RNA. RefSeq lists it as uncharacterized. The record is from RefSeq and is a predicted model, not a curated record. Lineage: Eukaryota; Metazoa; Chordata; Mammalia; Chiroptera; Vespertilionidae. The transcript has 3 exons.
UGCUCAGUAGGUGCGUUGAAUCCUAGUCUCUGCUGUGCCAUCGGGACCGUCGAGGCUGGGAGAUGGAGGGAAAGGCUGGAGUGCUUGCAGAAGAUUCUGUGAUUCUAGAUAAUAAAAGAUAUUAUGUACCGGCUCCUGAAUAUAACAGGCAGCAUUGUCAGACCUGAGGCACACGGCUGCAGGGCUUUUUCUGAGAUCUGUAACCAGAUGGCUUGCACCCCAUGAGAGGAGUCAAAAAGGUGAAUGGCAGUGAUCUAAAGAAAAUCUUGAGAAAUGAAUGGA